UGGUCAAGUUAUUAAGGGUAUAUGGGGGAUGCCUUGGCAUUAGAAGAUGUUGGCGUGGAAGUCUGCGAUAAGCCUGGGGGAGGUGACAAACAACCUAAGAUCCCGGGAUUCCGAUGUAAACCUGGUGAACUGAAACAUCUAAGUAACCAGAGGAAGAGAAAGAAAAAUCCAUUCCUUUAGUAGCGGCGAGCGAAACAGGAAUAGCCCAAACCGAGAGGGUUUCCCUCUCGGGGUUGUAGGACCUGCAAUAUGUAGUUGAUAGCGUAGCUAAAUAAACUGGAAAGUUUAACCGUAGAGGGUGACAGUCCCGUCGGCGAAACGCGAUUCAACGCUAGCAGUGUUCCUGAGUAGGUCGGGUCACGUGAAACCCUGACUGAAUCCACGGGGACCAUCCCGUAAGGCUAAAUACUCUCUAAUGACCGAUAGUGUACUCAGUAGGGUGACUGAAAGGUGAAAAGAACCCCUGUUAGGGGAGUGAAAUAGAAUCUGAAACCAUAUACUUACAAGCGGUUGGAGCACUAUACCAUUUAUGGAAUGUGUGACAGCGUGCCUUUUGCAUAAUGAUCCGGCGAGUUACCGUCACUGGCUUGGUUAAGGCCUUCCGGGCUGAAGCCUCAGGGAAACCGAGUCUUAAUAGGGCGACCUAUGUCAGCGGUGGUAGACGCGAAACCAGGUGAACUACCCAUGAGCAGGUUGAAGCGCGAGUUAUAUCGCGUGGAGGACCGAACCCACUUAGGUUGAAAACUGAGGGGAUGACUUGUGGGGAGGAGUGAAAGUCUAAUCAAACCUGGAGAUAGCUCGUUCUCUCCGAAAUAGCUUUAGGGCUAGCCUCGAGCCACUACGUACCGGGGGUAGAGAUACUGAAUUGGAUGAGGGCCCUUCCCGGGGUACCUCACCGAACCAAACUCCGAAUACCGGUACGAUUAUCUCGGGAGUCAGUCCACG
This 945-nucleotide ribosomal RNA is filed under the name Planctomycetaceae bacterium. RNAcentral describes it as "bacterial LSU rRNA". It matches the Rfam family "Bacterial large subunit ribosomal RNA", at positions 1 to 993 of the family's 2925-position model. The record is from RNAcentral. Lineage: Bacteria; Pseudomonadati; Planctomycetota; Planctomycetia; Planctomycetales; Planctomycetaceae.